RNAcentral lists this ribosomal RNA (441 nucleotides) under Brevibacterium iodinum. Its description in RNAcentral is "bacterial SSU rRNA". It matches the Rfam family "Bacterial small subunit ribosomal RNA", at positions 1031 to 1468 of the family's 1533-position model. Lineage: Bacteria; Bacillati; Actinomycetota; Actinomycetes; Micrococcales; Brevibacteriaceae. The record is from RNAcentral.
UGUACAGGUGGUGCAUGGUUGUCGUCAGCUCGUGUCGUGAGAUGUUGGGUUAAGUCCCGCAACGAGCGCAACCCUCGUUCUAUGUUGCCAGCACGUGAUGGUGGGAACUCAUAGGAGACUGCCGGGGUCAACUCGGAGGAAGGUGGGGAUGACGUCAAAUCAUCAUGCCCUUUAUGUCUUGGGCUUCACGCAUGCUACAAUGGCUGGUACAGAGAGAGGCGAACCCGUGAGGGUAAGCGAAUCCCUUAAAGCCAGUCUCAGUUCGGAUCGUAGUCUGCAAUUCGACUACGUGAAGUCGGAGUCGCUAGUAAUCGCAGAUCAGCAACGCUGCGGUGAAUACGUUCCCGGGCCUUGUACACACCGCCCGUCAAGUCACGAAAGUCGGUAACACCCGAAGCCGGUGUCCCAACCCUUAUGGGAGGGGGCCGUCUAAGGUGGGAC